CAGCUUAUGACAAAACAUUCACCCACCAAUAACUACCAUGAAGACAUAAAUAACCUUUGUACAUAAAUUGAAAUUAAAU
Molecule: long non-coding RNA, 79 nt
Organism: Aricia agestis (brown argus)
Lineage: Eukaryota; Metazoa; Arthropoda; Insecta; Lepidoptera; Lycaenidae
Exons: 3
Source: RefSeq, a predicted model, not a curated record